CUCCACAGAAACCUGAUCAGCUGAAGGUCACCAUGGCAACCGCACUGUCACUCAGUGCUUGCCCCGCCUCCCGUCUGCACACACACACACACACACAGCUGCAGAUAUUCCGAUGCUGUCUCUGAUGACAUCGCACAGACAGGUAACUCCCACCUGAUUCUGUCCAACCAGCACGCGAAGCAGGUGACGGAGCAUUUCUAUUGGUCAGUGUGAUCACCUGCACACGACAGCCUGAAACUCUCUGACUGAUUUCUGCUGUCUGACAAACAAAAAAGCAACAAAAGGACCUGAUCUGCAGAGACCUGAGGACAGGGCUGCAAUUCAGAGUCCGGCCUGAUGGUGCCUCACUGCUCUAGACUGUAUAUAAAAGAUGGACACAACCCCUGUGACGUCACAGAGCUGGGAGUGGGCUGGAGCCAAGCUUCUGUCUCACUUUCAUAGCCUCAGAGAUGAAGGUGGGCUUGGGAAAGAUGAAGAUGAUGAAGUAAGAAAGUCAACUUUUAUUUAUACAGCACUUUUUAAGACGAGGACCACAAAGUGCGUCACAGCAAAACAAUAAAUGUAAAAGAUGAGUUUUCAGUCGUUUCUUAAAGAGACCGCCGAGUCCACAGAUCUCAGACUCAGAGCUCCGGAGUCAUCGAGGUAAAAGCUCGGUCUCAGCGUUUAGCCUCGUAUACGAUCAGCAGGACCUCAGGGACCUGAUGGGGACGUAUGGCUGCAAAAGCUCACAGCACCACCAUCAAGAAGUCACACAGAUGUGUCUGAUGGAGGCUGUAACGGGGGUGGGGCUGGGUGGAGCUGCAGGAUCCACCGGUCUCUCUGACAACCACACUGAGACCGCCACGGUCACGGGGGGAAGACGCCGUUUCAUCGCCAAUUAAUUUUUUUUAAAAGUUGCUGUCAUUGGUCGAGCUCGUUAUGAAAAUAAACUUGUGGUUUGAUUGGA
Long non-coding RNA from Oreochromis niloticus (Nile tilapia), 946 nucleotides. RefSeq lists it as uncharacterized. Lineage: Eukaryota; Metazoa; Chordata; Actinopteri; Cichliformes; Cichlidae. The record is from RefSeq and is a predicted model, not a curated record. The transcript is spliced from 2 exons.